CUUACAAAACUUAGUAAGAAAAGUUUACAAGAAAGAGAGAGAGUGCAAAACGGAAGAGAGGGUUUCUAAAACUUGCCCCUUAAUUAAAGAAAAACAAACUUAUUUAUAGGAAAAGAAAGCAUCUUUGUACAGGAUACUGGGCCCCUAUAUGCGUCCUGGUAACAAUGUAUCUACUGUUGAGCUACAGUGUUGCUACAGUAGUCCGGGCAUUUUACUGUUCCGGAAAAGCUUAACACUGCUACAUCUUGUCCUUUAGUUUUGCCAAAAAAUCUUCAGCUUUCUUCAGUGCAUCUACUGGACUUUCUUCUUCAUAUGGUUGAGCUUCGUGCAUAUCUUCACUUGUUUC
This 346-nucleotide long non-coding RNA is filed under the name Solanum tuberosum (potato). Its description in RNAcentral is "long non-coding RNA (STUB_LNC001514)". The record is from RNAcentral. Lineage: Eukaryota; Viridiplantae; Streptophyta; Magnoliopsida; Solanales; Solanaceae.